RNAcentral lists this ribosomal RNA (875 nucleotides) under uncultured bacterium. RNAcentral's name for it is "bacterial SSU rRNA". It matches the Rfam family "Bacterial small subunit ribosomal RNA", at positions 8 to 899 of the family's 1533-position model. The record is from RNAcentral.
AGAGUUUGAUCAUGGCUCAGGACGAACGCUGGCGGCGUGCUUCACACAUGCAAGUCGAGCGGAAAGGCCCUUCGGGGUACUCGAGCGGCGAACGGGUGAGUAACACGUGAGUAACCUGCCCUUAGCACCGGGAUAGCUCCGGGAAACCGGAAUUAAUACCGGAUAUGACCACGAUCGGCAUCGGUCGUGGUGGAAAGGAUUCCGGCUAGGGAUGGACUCGCGGCCUAUCAGCUAGUUGGUUGGGGUAACGGCCCACCAAGGCGACGACGGGUAGCCGGCCUGAGAGGGCGACCGGCCACACUGGGACUGAGACACGGCCCAGACUCCUACGGGAGGCAGCAGUGGGGAAUAUUGCGCAAUGGGCGAAAGCCUGACGCAGCGACGCCGCGUGAGGGAUGAAGGCCUUCGGGUUGUAAACCUCUUUCAGCAGGGACGAAGCGCAAGUGACGGUACCUGCAGAAGAAGCGCCGGCUAACUACGUGCCAGCAGCCGCGGUAACACGUAGGGCGCAAGCGUUGUCCGGAAUUAUUGGGCGUAAAGAGCUCGUAGGCGGUCCGUCACGUCCGCUGUGAAAACCCAGGGCUCAACCCUGGGCUUGCAGUGGAUACGGGCAGACUAGAGGUAGGUAGGGGAGAAUGGAAUUCCCGGUGUAGCGGUGAAAUGCGCAGAUAUCGGGAGGAACACCGGUGGCGAAGGCGGUUCUCUGGGCCUUACCUGACGCUGAGGAGCGAAAGCGUGGGGAGCGAACAGGAUUAGAUACCCUGGUAGUCCACGCUGUAAACGUUGGGCGCUAGGUGUGGGGUCCUUCCACGGAUUCCGUGCCGCAGCUAACGCAUUAAGCGCCCCGCCUGGGGAGUACGGCCGCAAGGCUAAAA